Molecule: ribosomal RNA, 765 nt
Filed under: uncultured bacterium
Lineage: Bacteria
Description: bacterial SSU rRNA
Rfam family: Bacterial small subunit ribosomal RNA
Source: RNAcentral
GAGUGGCGAACGGGUGAGUAACACGUGGGUAACCUGCCCAUCAGAAGGGGAUAACACUUGGAAACAGGUGCUAAUACCGUAUAACACUAUUUUCCGCAUGGAAGAAAGUUGAAAGGCGCUUUUGCGCCACUGAUGGAUGGACCCGCGGUGCAUUAGCUAGUUGGUGAGGUAACGGCUCACCAAGGCCACGAUGCAUAGCCGACCUGAGAGGGUGAUCGGCCACACUGGGACUGAGACACGGCCCAGACUCCUACGGGAGGCAGCAGUAGGGAAUCUUCGGCAAUGGACGAAAGUCUGACCGAGCAACGCCGCGUGAGUGAAGAAGGUUUUCGGAUCGUAAAACUCUGUUGUUAGAGAAGAACAAGGAUGAGAGUAAAACGUUCAUCCCUUGACGGUAUCUAACCAGAAAGCCACGGCUAACUACGUGCCAGCAGCCGCGGUAAUACGUAGGUGGCAAGCGUUGUCCGGAUUUAUUGGGCGUAAAGCGAGCGCAGGCGGUUUCUUAAGUCUGAUGUGAAAGCCCCCGGCUCAACCGGGGAGGGUCAUUGGAAACUGGGAGACUUGAGUGCAGAAGAGGAGAGUGGAAUUCCAUGUGUAGCGGUGAAAUGCGUAGAUAUAUGGAGGAACACCAGUGGCGAAGGCGGCUCUCUGGUCUGUAACUGACGCUGAGGCUCGAAAGCGUGGGGAGCGAACAGGAUUAGAUACCCUGGUAGUCCACGCCGUAAACGAUGAGUGCUAAGUGUUGGAGGGUUUCCGCCCUUCAGU